UGGUGUGAGGUAGAAAUGAGAAAUAAUUUCUUUAGGCUAAAGAGAAGUAUUAAAUAUUUGGUGAAAAUGAGAUUAUUGCCACCAGCUAUAUAUUUAAUAUUCUGGAUGUCCUAUGUGGAAUCCCAGGUGCCAGUGAUGACUCCAUCUGUUCUUUAUGUUAACCAAGGACAAACUGGUACUUAUAAUUGUAACGUGGGAGUUAAAGACAAUCACGUUACACGUUUUCUUCGUCAAACACCUGGAAAAGCUCCCCAGCUCAUUUUUUAUCAUCAUCAUACAUACACAGAACCUAAAUAUGGACCAGGAAUGUCAUCCGCUCAUUUUGGUUCCACUAUAAAUGGUGCAGGCACAGAAUAUCAACUGACUGUAAAAAAUGCAGGCACUCAGGAUACUGAUACUUAUUAUUGUGUUAAAUGGUAUGACAACAUUGGAUGCCACAGUGAUAUACAGCUGGACAAAAACCACUGAAGGGAUUCUUCUUGCUAAAAUGUGCAAUAAAGUAAAUAGCAUUUUUCUGAGAAAUUCAAACUAUGUCAGUUACAUAUAAAUAGCGUUAGUGGAAGUAAUCAUAUUGUACACAAUAAUUCCCAAGUAACAGUCCCUGCCCAGAGGCUAUUUAAUGUACUUUCAGUUGCCAUUGUGCUGUCAAAGUUUAAAUUAAUAUUUUGUAUCUUUAUAGGGGGAGUUCACCUUUUUUAGUAUGUCAUAAUUUUUAAUUUCAAGCACCCUUUCAAUUGGUCUUCAUUUAUUAUUUUUUUUAUAGUUUUUU
Xenopus laevis (African clawed frog) is the source of this 769-nucleotide non-coding RNA. Lineage: Eukaryota; Metazoa; Chordata; Amphibia; Anura; Pipidae. The record is from the annotation of a RefSeq genome assembly.